GAUGAACGCUGGCGGCGUGCCUAAUACAUGCAAGUCGAGCGAACAGAUAAGGAGCUUGCUCCUUUGACGUUAGCGGCGGACGGGUGAGUAACACGUGGGUAACCUACCUAUAAGACUGGGAUAACUUCGGGAAACCGGAGCUAAUACCGGAUAAUAUUUCGAACCGCAUGGUUCGAUAGUGAAAGAUGGUUUUGCUAUCACUUAUAGAUGGACCCGCGCCGUAUUAGCUAGUUGGUAAGGUAACGGCUUACCAAGGCGACGAUACGUAGCCGACCUGAGAGGGUGAUCGGCCACACUGGAACUGAGACACGGUCCAGACUCCUACGGGAGGCAGCAGUAGGGAAUCUUCCGCAAUGGGCGAAAGCCUGACGGAGCAACGCCGCGUGAGUGAUGAAGGUCUUCGGAUCGUAAAACUCUGUUAUUAGGGAAGAACAUACGUGUAAGUAACUGUGCACGUCUUGACGGUACCUAAUCAGAAAGCCACGGCUAACUACGUA
This 497-nucleotide ribosomal RNA is filed under the name uncultured bacterium. RNAcentral describes it as "partial 16S ribosomal RNA". It matches the Rfam family "Bacterial small subunit ribosomal RNA", at positions 28 to 507 of the family's 1533-position model. The record is from RNAcentral.